AUAGGAUGACUCAAUUAUAUUUGUGUUGGGAUAUAGGAAUGUUUGUUUCCUUUGCUCUUCAUAGAAUCCACUCUCUCAUGCAUACUGCAUUUCUCUUCUCUUGGCCCAUCUCUAACACCCUGUUGCUUUCAAGUGCUCCUCUGCUGAGCCUCCCAAAAACUAGCAUAUACAAAUCAGCUCUAACUCAAGCCCCUCCUAUUGGGAUUUCAGUGAGACUUACUGCUCCAGGGCAUUUUAUUCCACUUGCCUACCCAACAAUGCUUAAUAAUUUCUGAACACCCUUUGGUUUUAUAUGAUUUGACCUGCAGCUGGAAAGGGCAGCUGAGAAAUACUGUUGUUUAAACAAAUAUAGCUCAAUGAAUUGUGCCUUACUAAUUUUGAUUGUCUGAAAUCUCCAGAUGUGUAUUGGGAAUGAAAGAAUCAUAAUAGCAAAGGUGCUCUAGCAAAUCUAGAGACCUUGGUUUUUAUAAACUCAAAGAAGAGCAUUUGUCUGAGAUCUAGAGGCCUUAGGAUAUUAAGUAAGAUUGUUUUCCAAAAAGUGUAUAAUUUCUUAGUUUCAAUAGGACUUUUAGCUGAAAAAAUUCAAAGAAUGGGUUGUUCUCUACAUAAGAAAAUAAUGAGUAAAAUGUCUAUGUAUGGGCAUGACUGUAUAGGAAUUAAUUUUGCGUAGAAGCUUGUGUCCAUUGUGAAAGUGGCUGAAAAUAUAUUGCAGAGGGUUUUGUAAAAGGAAAUAACCACAGUGCUGAAAUAAGCAGUGUAAGAAAAUGCCAUUGAAGAGAUGAAAAGCUAUGAAAUGAAAUGAAAAGAAAAAUGGAGUGGGGAAAAAAAGACUAAUACUACCGUAACCUUGAAAGUACAGAAUCCAUUUUAUAUCUGUACAUAAAGGCCAUCCCUUCCAAUAGAAAGAAAAAAUGGACUGAACCUUUUCUGCACUUAAAUGCACAAAGCUUUAACAGUUAAAAACAGAUGCGUUCCUUAUUCCAGUCUCUCUAUUGUAUCCCAUCUCCAAAGCCCACCUAUGGAUAGGCUGCAGAAGUGUAUUCGUUGUCUGACUUCCUUUCCCUUCCCAGAUCCAUGUGGCAUUUUUGGGGGAUCCUCUGUAAGACCAUGAAUUCUACUAUUCUCAUGCACUGUAAAAUAAAAUAUGAGAAUAUUAGGUCACUUUAAAAAAAAUUGUCUCCUAAAGAAAGAACUUUAAAUAAUAUUUCUUUGCAAAGGAUUCCUGUGAAAUCCUUUAUAUGAGAGCAUAGGUCCUAGCUUGUAUGUAAAGAAUACCAGUGAUGCCCAGUAAACUAUGUACACUUACAUUAGUUUAAUAUUCCCAAGUGUACUAAAUCUAAUCUACUUGAUUGUGAGGUACUGCUUCUUCUUAAUAAUAAUUUGUUUGACAGUAAUGUCUAGUGGCUCAAACUGAAAACCGGGACCCAUUGUGCUAAAUGCUGUACACAUACAUAAGAAACGCAUCCAUGCCACAGUCUAAGUAGACAAGGUUGGAGGCAGGAAGCAUUAUCAUUAUCAUCAUCAUCCUGUUUACAGACGGGGACUUGAGACAAACAUAUUGUGACUUGCCAAGGUCACACAGAAAAUCUGUUAUAGAAGUGGGACCUGAACCCAAACCUCCUGAGUCCCAGUCCAGGUACCUAACCACAUGACUGACCUAGUAUCUUGUGACUGCCACUGACAUAACAAAUACAAGCAAAAAACCCCUAUAAUGUAAAACAAGUAUAUUUAUGCAUCCCUACUGUAUGAAACAAGUGUCUUCCUCCUUUCCUAACUUAGCCAGAAGAGGGCACUACAAUGCUAAGGCUGUUUUUUAGGGGGUUUUGUUUUUUUGUUUUUGUUUUUUUGCGUGGAGUGCUUCCGAGAGCUGGCUGCCUUGUCCAAGGUAUUAUCUUUAAUCCUUGCAAAGCCAGAGGGAGGUGAGGCCGCUGAGCCCCAUGCAGGAUAAGGCCCUGUAUACAUGCACCAUGUCCUGCAAACUAUAUGGAGAAUAAUAUUGUGUAUUAUGCUUCUUGAAACAAGAUUUUUCAGGUAUUUGAUGAUGAGAAAGAUGAAGUGAUGAAAACGUGAUAUCCUUUUGCAAAUGAGAUGAAGAUUUCUAAUAACCUCCCCCCUUGGGAUUUGAAUUCACUGUCCUGGAAACCCAGAAACUUUAUCCAUUAGGCUACACAAUCUUGGUUUCGAUGCAGCAG
This is a long non-coding RNA of Dermochelys coriacea (leatherback sea turtle), 2192 nucleotides long. RefSeq lists it as uncharacterized. Lineage: Eukaryota; Metazoa; Chordata; Testudines; Dermochelyidae. The record is from RefSeq and is a predicted model, not a curated record. The transcript has 3 exons.